UACGGGGGGUGCGAGCGUUAAUCGGAAUUACUGGGCGUAAAGCGCACGUAGGCGGCUUUGUAAGUUAGAGGUGAAAGCCUGGGGCUCAACUCCAGAAUUGCCUUUAAGACUGCAUCGCUUGAACGUCGGAGAGGUGAGUGGAAUUCCGAGUGUAGAGGUGAAAUUCGUAGAUAUUCGGAAGAACACCAGUGGCGAAGGCGGCUCACUGGACGACUGUUGACGCUGAGGUGCGAAAGCGUGGGGAGCAAACAGG
RNAcentral lists this ribosomal RNA (253 nucleotides) under uncultured bacterium. Its description in RNAcentral is "partial 16S ribosomal RNA". It matches the Rfam family "Bacterial small subunit ribosomal RNA", at positions 524 to 776 of the family's 1533-position model. The record is from RNAcentral.